AUACGGAGGGUGCAAGCGUUACUCGGAAUCACUGGGCGUAAAGCGCGCGCAGGCGGGCUGAUAAGUUGGAUGUGAAAGCCUACGGCUCAACCGUAGAACUGCAUCCAAAACUGUCAGUCUAGAGUGUGGGAGAGGAAGAUGGAAUUAGUUGUGUAGGGGUAAAAUCCGUAGAGAUAACUAGGAAUACCAAAAGCGAAGGCGAUCUUCUGGAACAGUACUGACGCUGAGGCGCGAAAGCGUGGGGAGCAAACAGGAUUAGAAACCCGAGUAGUCC
This 274-nucleotide ribosomal RNA is filed under the name uncultured bacterium. RNAcentral describes it as "partial 16S ribosomal RNA". It matches the Rfam family "Bacterial small subunit ribosomal RNA", at positions 523 to 796 of the family's 1533-position model. The record is from RNAcentral.